AGAGUUUGAUCCUGGCUCAGGAUGAACGCUGGCGGCGUGCUUAACACAUGCAAGUCGGACGAUCCUUCGGGAUAGUGGCGGACGGGUGAGUAACGCGUGGGAAUCUGCCCUCAGGAGGGGGAUAACGGCUGGAAACGGCCGCUAAUACCCCAUAUGCCGAGAGGUGAAAUGAAUUUCGCCUGAGGAUGAGCCCGCGUCUGAUUAGCUAGUUGGUGGGGUAACGGCCCACCAAGGCGACGAUCAGUAGCUGGUCUGAGAGGAUGAUCAGCCACACUGGGACUGAGACACGGCCCAGACUCCUACGGGAGGCAGCAGUGGGGAAUUUUCCGCAAUGGGCGAAAGCCUGACGGAGCAACGCCGCGUGAGGGAUGAAGGCCUUUGGGCUGUAAACCUCUUUUCUCAAGGAAGAAGAUUUGAUGGUACUUGAGGAAUAAGCCACGGUUAAUUUUGUGCCAGUAGUUGCGGUAAUAUGGGAGUGGCAAGCGUUAUCCGGAAUUAUUGGGCGUAAAGCGUCCGCAGGCGGCUUUGUAAGUCUGUUGUUAAAGUGUGGAGUUUAACUCCAUUUAAGCAAUGGAAACUACAAGGCUGGAGUGUGGUAGGGGCAGAGGGAAUUCCCGGUGUAGCGGUGAAAUGCGUAGAUAUCGGGAAGAAUAUUAGUGGCGAAGGCGCUCUGCUGGGCCAUAACUGACGCUCAUGGACGAAAGCCAGGGGAGCGAAAGGGAUUAGAUACCCCUGUAGUCCUGGCCGUAAACGAUGAACACUAGGUGUUGGGGGAAUUGACCCCCUUGGUGUUGUAGUCAACGCGUUAAGUGUUCCGCCUGGGGAGUACGCACGUAAGUGUGAAACUCAAAGGAAUUGACGGGGGCCCGCACAAGCGGUGGAGUAUGUGGUUUAAUUCGAUGCAAUGCGAAGAACCUUACCAGGGUUUGACAUCCUGCGAACCCCUGAGAAAUCGGGGGGUGCCUUCGGGAGCGCAGAGACGGGUGGUGCAUGGCUGUCGUCAGCUCGUGUCGUGAGAUGUUGGGUUAAGUCCCGCAACGAGCGCAACCCACGUCUUUAGUUGCCAGCAUUUAGUUGGGCACUCUAGAGAGACCGCCGGUGAUAAACCGGAGGAAGGUGUGGAUGACGUCAAGUCAUCAUGCCCCUUACAUCCUGGGCUACACACGUACUACAAUGCUACGGACAAAGGGCAGCAAGCUCGUGAGAGUUAGCAAAUCCCAUAAACCGUGGCUCAGUUCAGAUCGUAGGCUGCAAUUCGCCUACGUGAAGGAGGAAUCGCUAGUAAUCGCAGGG
RNAcentral lists this ribosomal RNA (1293 nucleotides) under metagenome. RNAcentral's name for it is "bacterial SSU rRNA". It matches the Rfam family "Bacterial small subunit ribosomal RNA", at positions 8 to 1349 of the family's 1533-position model. The record is from RNAcentral.